This 381-nucleotide ribosomal RNA is filed under the name uncultured bacterium. Its description in RNAcentral is "bacterial SSU rRNA". It matches the Rfam family "Bacterial small subunit ribosomal RNA", at positions 524 to 905 of the family's 1533-position model. The record is from RNAcentral.
UACGAAGGGGGCUAGCGUUGCUCGGAAUCACUGGGCGUAAAGGGCGCGUAGGCGGACUCUUAAGUCGGGGGUGAAAGCCCAGGGCUCAACCCUGGAAUUGCCUUCGAUACUGAGAGUCUUGAGUUCGGAAGAGGUUGGUGGAACUGCGAGUGUAGAGGUGAAAUUCGUAGAUAUUCGCAAGAACACCAGUGGCGAAGGCGGCCAACUGGUCCGAUACUGACGCUGAGGCGCGAAAGCGUGGGGAGCAAACAGGAUUAGAUACCCUAGUAGUCCACGCCGUAAACGAUGAAUGCCAGCCGUUGGGGUGCAUGCACUUCAGUGGCGCAGCUAACGCUUUAAGCAUUCCGCCUGGGGAGUACGGUCGCAAGAUUAAAACUCAAA